Molecule: ribosomal RNA, 1853 nt
Filed under: Staphylococcus aureus
Lineage: Bacteria; Bacillati; Bacillota; Bacilli; Caryophanales; Staphylococcaceae
Description: partial 23S ribosomal RNA
Rfam family: Bacterial large subunit ribosomal RNA
Source: RNAcentral
GUCUCUCUUGAGUGGAUCCUGAGUACGACGGAGCACGUGAAAUUCCGUCGGAAUCUGGGAGGACCAUCUCCUAAGGCUAAAUACUCUCUAGUGACCGAUAGUGAACCAGUACCGUGAGGGAAAGGUGAAAAGCACCCCGGAAGGGGAGUGAAAUAGAACCUGAAACCGUGUGCUUACAAGUAGUCAGAGCCCGUUAAUGGGUGAUGGCGUGCCUUUUGUAGAAUGAACCGGCGAGUUACGAUUUGAUGCAAGGUUAAGCAGUAAAUGUGGAGCCGUAGCGAAAGCGAGUCUGAAUAGGGCGUUUAGUAUUUGGUCGUAGACCCGAAACCAGGUGAUCUACCCUUGGUCAGGUUGAAGUUCAGGUAACACUGAAUGGAGGACCGAACCGACUUACGUUGAAAAGUGAGCGGAUGAACUGAGGGUAGCGGAGAAAUUCCAAUCGAACCUGGAGAUAGCUGGUUCUCUCCGAAAUAGCUUUAGGGCUAGCCUCAAGUGAUGAUUAUUGGAGGUAGAGCACUGUUUGGACGAGGGGCCCCUCUCGGGUUACCGAAUUCAGACAAACUCCGAAUGCCAAUUAAUUUAACUUGGGAGUCAGAACAUGGGUGAUAAGGUCCGUGUUCGAAAGGGAAACAGCCCAGACCACCAGCUAAGGUCCCAAAAUAUAUGUUAAGUGGAAAAGGAUGUGGCGUUGCCCAGACAACUAGGAUGUUGGCUUAGAAGCAGCCAUCAUUUAAAGAGUGCGUAAUAGCUCACUAGUCGAGUGACACUGCGCCGAAAAUGUACCGGGGCUAAACAUAUUACCGAAGCUGUGGAUUGUCCUUUGGACAAUGGUAGGAGAGCGUUCUAAGGGCGUUGAAGCAUGAUCGUAAGGACAUGUGGAGCGCUUAGAAGUGAGAAUGCCGGUGUGAGUAGCGAAAGACGGGUGAGAAUCCCGUCCACCGAUUGACUAAGGUUUCCAGAGGAAGGCUCGUCCGCUCUGGGUUAGUCGGGUCCUAAGCUGAGGCCGACAGGCGUAGGCGAUGGAUAACAGGUUGAUAUUCCUGUACCACCUAUAAUCGUUUUAAUCGAUGGGGGGACGCAGUAGGAUAGGCGAAGCGUGCGAUUGGAUUGCACGUCUAAGCAGUAAGGCUGAGUAUUAGGCAAAUCCGGUACUCGUUAAGGCUGAGCUGUGAUGGGGAGAAGACAUUGUGUCUUCGAGUCGUUGAUUUCACACUGCCGAGAAAAGCCUCUAGAUAGAAAAUAGGUGCCCGUACCGCAAACCGACACAGGUAGUCAAGAUGAGAAUUCUAAGGUGAGCGAGCGAACUCUCGUUAAGGAACUCGGCAAAAUGACCCCGUAACUUCGGGAGAAGGGGUGCUCUUUAGGGUUAACGCCCAGAAGAGCCGCAGUGAAUAGGCCCAAGCGACUGUUUAUCAAAAACACAGGUCUCUGCUAAACCGUAAGGUGAUGUAUAGGGGCUGACGCCUGCCCGGUGCUGGAAGGUUAAGAGGAGUGGUUAGCUUCUGCGAAGCUACGAAUCGAAGCCCCAGUAAACGGCGGCCGUAACUAUAACGGUCCUAAGGUAGCGAAAUUCCUUGUCGGGUAAGUUCCGACCCGCACGAAAGGCGUAACGAUUUGGGCACUGUCUCAACGAGAGACUCGGUGAAAUCAUAGUACCUGUGAAGAUGCAGGUUACCCGCGACAGGACGGAAAGACCCCGUGGAGCUUUACUGUAGCCUGAUAUUGAAAUUCGGCACAGCUUGUACAGGAUAGGUAGGAGCCUUUGAAACGUGAGCGCUAGCUUACGUGGAGGCGCUGGUGGGAUACUACCCUAGCUGUGUUGGCUUUCUAACCCGCACCACUUAUCGUGGUGG